This 253-nucleotide ribosomal RNA is filed under the name uncultured bacterium. RNAcentral describes it as "partial 16S ribosomal RNA". It matches the Rfam family "Bacterial small subunit ribosomal RNA", at positions 524 to 776 of the family's 1533-position model. The record is from RNAcentral.
UACGUAGGGGGCUAGCGUUGUCCGGAAUCAUUGGGCGUAAAGCGCGUGUAGGCGGUCCGGUAAGUCCGCUGUGAAAGUCGAGGGCUCAACCCUCGAAUGCCGGUGGAUACUGUCGGGCUUGAGUACGGGAGAGGCGAGUGGAAUUCCUGGUGUAGCGGUGAAAUGCGCAGAUAUCGGGAGGAACACCAGUGGCGAAGGCGACUACCUGGCCUGUUCUUGACGCUGAGGCGCGAAAGCUAGGGGAGCAAACGGG